Molecule: ribosomal RNA, 916 nt
Filed under: uncultured archaeon
Lineage: Archaea
Description: bacterial SSU rRNA
Rfam family: Archaeal small subunit ribosomal RNA
Source: RNAcentral
UUCCGGUUGAUCCUGCCGGAGGUUACUGCUAUCGAGGUUCGACUAAGCCAUGCGAGUCGAAUGUAGCAAUACAUGGCGAACUGCUCAGUAACACGUGGACAACCUGCCCUUAGGUUGGGGAUAAACCCGGGAAACUGGGUAUAAUACCCGAUAGGUCUCGAUUGCUGGAAUGCAUCGAGAUUUAAAGCUCCGGCGCCUAAGGAUGGGUCUGCGGCCUAUCAGGUAGUAGUGGGUGUAGCGUACCUACUAGCCUACGACGGGUACGGGUUGUGAGAGCAAGAGCCCGGAGAUGGAUUCUGAGACACGAAUCCAGGCCCUACGGGGUGCAGCAGGCGCGAAAACUUUACAAUGCUGGCAACAGCGAUAAGGGAACCUCGAGUGCCAGGUUACAAAUCUGGCUGUCGAGAUGCCUAAAAAGCAUUUCAUAGCAAGGGCCGGGCAAGACCGGUGCCAGCCGCCGCGGUAACACCGGCGGCUCGAGUGGUAACCGUUAUUAUUGGGUCUAAAGGGUCUGUAGCCGGCCGGAUAAGUCUCUUGAGAAAUCUGGCAGCUUAACUGUCAGGCUUUCAGGAGAUACUGUCUGGCUCGAGGCCGGGAGAGGUGAGAGGUACUUCAGGGGUAGGGGUGAAAUCUUGUAAUCCUUGAAGGACCACCAGUGGCGAAGGCGUCUCACCAGAACGGACCUGACGGCAAGGGACGAAAGCUAGGGGCACGAACCGGAUUAGAUACCCGGGUAGUCCUAGCCGUAAACGAUACUCGCUAGGUGUCGGCCACGGUGCGACCGUUGUCGGUGCCGUAGGGAAGCCGUGAAGCGAGCCACCUGGGAAGUACGGCCGCAAGGCUGAAACUUAAAGGAAUUGGCGGGGGAGCACCACAACGGGUGGAGCUUGCGGUUUAAUUGGAUUCAACGCCGGAA